This 76-nucleotide transfer RNA is filed under the name Pelosinus fermentans. RNAcentral's name for it is "tRNA_Gln_CTG". It matches the Rfam family "tRNA". Rfam says of the family: Transfer RNA (tRNA) molecules are approximately 80 nucleotides in length. Their secondary structure includes four short double-helical elements and three loops (D, anti-codon, and T loops). Further hydrogen bonds mediate the characteristic L-shaped molecular structure. tRNAs have two regions of fundamental functional importance: the anti-codon, which is responsible for specific mRNA codon recognition, and the 3' end, to which the tRNAs corresponding amino acid is attached (by aminoacyl-tRNA synthetases). tRNAs cope with the degeneracy of the genetic code in two manners: having more than one tRNA (with a specific anti-codon) for a particular amino acid; and 'wobble' base-pairing, i.e. permitting non-standard base-pairing at the 3rd anti-codon position. RNAcentral also lists the same sequence under 9 other names. Lineage: Bacteria; Bacillati; Bacillota; Negativicutes; Selenomonadales; Sporomusaceae. The record is from RNAcentral.
UGGGGCGUCGCCAAGCUGGUAAGGCACGGGAUUCUGAUUCCCGCAUCCGCAGGUUCGAGUCCUGCCGCCCUAGCCA